CCGGCCGCUCGGACGGGUCCUCGCCGCCAGCGUCGGGGUCCCCAGGGCCGCCCCUGGCGGCGGGCGCGUGCGCUGAGCUGCCCUCGGGGAAGCCUCCCGACAGCGCGCAGCCCGAGGGAGCGGCGCGCCCUGUCGCCGAAUCCUGGCCCCGUGGCGCGGCGGGAUCUCGCCUGCAGGCCCCCGCUGCGGGAUUGGGCCGCUCCCCAGCACCGCCCUAGCCUACCGCGCCGAAACGCGUCCGGCCGCUCCCAGGGCUUCUCAGUUUCCCGCGGGCCGUGACGGCGGCCUCGUCCAGGAGGACGGGGAGGAUUUACCUGUAAGGCCCAGGACGCAUCGAUCUGCGCAUUUUCCCCGACUGGUUUCAAGAGGAGCACCUGCAACGCCAGUGGUGUUUGACCUACCCCUAGAGCAGGCGGCAGAUCUUUGAGGCAGAGAAGAAGCUGAUGGAAUCCAUGAGGAUCACUAUAUUAGCUGCUGGCCCAGACCGAGCCAUAAUUCCAGAAAUGGAGUGGAUGAGCCAAGUCCUGCUGACGGUGGACAUAGUUAACUCUGGGGACUUGGUUGAAAUCACCAUCUUCGGACGGCCCGGUGUACAAAAUCGGGUGAAGAGCGUGCUCCUGAGCCUGGCAUCCUGGCACCAGAAACAUCGUGCCCGAGGUUCAGAGCCUCCACCUGAGAAGUGAUGCUGCUAGCACCUCCCCUCCUCCCUCACUCCCUUCAAUGAUGGAGUAGUUUGGAACAGAAAGCAUUUUUCCUUAUCCAGCUGAGAAGAUGAAACAACUUGAGGAGUUCUUGAAGGCGGGUGCAUCAGGUCCCCAGGCCCCCCAGCAUCCUGUUGCAUAAGUAUUUUCAGGAGCAUUGUGAGAAACAGUCCUGCUUCUACUACUAAAGUUGGAGAGAAGCAAGUAUCCAUAAAUCUCUGCAUUCUUUUUUUUCCUGUGUCUUGAUGGAUAGUGCUUUGAUUAUUUUGAUGCAAAAGUGAGUUUGUAGUGCCAUUCUAGUAAAUGAAUUUCCUUUUUGUCCAAUGGCUUAAAGAUCUUUGCUCACUUAAAAUUAAGCAAAUAUAUAAAAGAUUGAUUCUGUUCAUUCAUGCCUUGAUGUGAGGGGUGGGUAAAAGGCUGAUAGGUAGUGGUUUUAUUUUUGUUUUUUCCUUUGCCUCUAUCAUUUUGAAUCUACUAACCCUUUUAUGAUUUUAUGGCCAGAGUCAGGCCCUCAAGCACAGGCCCAUGAAUUUGCAUUUCUAAUAAGCUCAUAGGUAAUGCCAGUGCUUCUCCUCUGAGGCUCUCACUUUAAAGUUGGUGGUUUGGCCUCUGGGUAGCACCUAAUGUGCAUUUUCUUCUUGGAGUGGAGGCUUCCUCCCUGCACAUGGGUGGGUGCUCCAACACAAAA
Zalophus californianus (California sea lion) is the source of this 1389-nucleotide RNA transcript. It is a transcript of the gene named oocyte expressed protein, with no coding region annotated. The transcript has 4 exons. NCBI's taxonomy places the organism in Eukaryota, Metazoa, Chordata, Mammalia, Carnivora, Otariidae. The record is from RefSeq and is a predicted model, not a curated record.